GAGAGAGACGUUUUUAAAACGUAGAGGAUUUAUAUUCAAGGAUCUCAAAACUGCGCAUUUUCAUUUCACUGCACAUCUAGAGGAAAAGCAGAAAUAGAGAAUUUCCUAGUCCAUCCUAUUCUGAAUGGUGCUGUUUCUAUAUUGGUCAUUGCCUUGCCAAACAGGAGCUCCACAUAGAGCGGAAGAAACCAGCCUCAGUGGCUGAAAGAGUCCUUUCAGGAAGGCGGGGCUGCAUUGGCUGCAUUGGUUUGCGAUGUUUUUAGUUGACCUUGACAAGGGGUUAAGUGAAAUUCUGGGUCUCUUUAGCAUGCCCUGUACCUGGUUUCUCUUUUACCUUUGCCUCUUCUCCCAUUAUUUUCUUUCCUUUAUUUUUCUUUACAUAUUUUUUUUUUGAGAUCCAUCCUCUAUCAAGAAGUCUGAAGGGACUUUAAAGGUUUUUGAAUUUAUAUUUAAAAACCAACUUAUAAAGCAUUGCAACAAGGUUACCUCUAUUUUGCCACAAGCGUCUCGGGAUUGUGUUUGACUCGUGUCUGUCCAAGAACUUUUCCCCCAAAGAUGUGUAUAGUUAUUGGUUAAAAUGACUGUUUUCGCUCUUUCUGGAAAUAAAGAGGAAAAAAGGAAACUUUUUUUUUGUUUGCUCUUGCAUUGCAAAAAUUAUAAAGUAAUUUAUUAUUUAUUGUCAGGAGACUUGCCACUUUUCAUGUCAUUUGACAUUUCUUUUUGUUUGCUGAAGUAAAAAAAAAGAUAAAGGUUGUACCGUGGUCUUUGAAUUAUAUGUCUAAUUUUAUGUGUUUUGUCUUUUUUUUCUUUAAAUAUUAUGUGAAAUCAAAGCGCCAUAUGUAGAAUUAUAUCUUCAGGACUAUUUCACUAAUAAACGUUUGGCAUAGAUAAUUAAAUAAA
This 900-nucleotide long non-coding RNA is filed under the name Rattus norvegicus (Norway rat). RNAcentral's name for it is "long non-coding RNA NONRATT016113". Lineage: Eukaryota; Metazoa; Chordata; Mammalia; Rodentia; Muridae. The record is from RNAcentral.